AGUCGAACGAGAAAGGGGAGCAAUCCCUGAGUACAGUGGCGUACGGGUGAGUAACACGUGGGUAAUCUGCCCUUUGGUGGGGAAUAACCCUGGGAAACCGGGGCUAAUACCGCAUAAGUCCGAGAGGAGAAAGCAGCAAUGCGCCGAAGGAGGAGCCCGCGGCCGAUUAGCUAGUUGGUGAGGUAAAAGCCCACCAAGGCAAAGAUCGGUAGCCGGCCUGAGAGGGCACACGGCCACACUGGCACUGAAACACGGGCCAGACUCCUACGGGAGGCAGCAGUGGGGAAUCUUGCACAAUGGGGGAAACCCUGAUGCAGCGACGCCGCGUGAGCGAUGAAGCCCUUCGGGGUGUAAAGCUCUUUCGGCAGGGAAGAUGAUGACGGUACCUGCAGAAGCAGCUGCGGCUAACUACGUGCCAGCAGCCGCGGUAAUACGUAGGCAGCAAGCGUUGUUCAGAGUUACUGGGCGUAAAGGGUGUGUAGGCGGUUUGGUAAGUCUGGUGUGAAAUCUCCCGGCUCAACUGGGAGGGUGCGCCGGAAACUGCCGGACUCGAGUGCGGGAGAGGAGAGUGGAAUUCCUGGUGUAGCGGUGAAAUGCGUAGAUAUCAGGAGGAACACCGGUGGUGUAGACGGCUCUCUGGACCGUAACUGACGCUGAAACACGAAAGCGUGGGUAGCAAACAGGAUUAGAUACCCUGGUAGUCCACGCCCUA
This 712-nucleotide ribosomal RNA is filed under the name uncultured Acidobacteriota bacterium. RNAcentral describes it as "bacterial SSU rRNA". It matches the Rfam family "Bacterial small subunit ribosomal RNA", at positions 60 to 804 of the family's 1533-position model. Lineage: Bacteria; Pseudomonadati; Acidobacteriota. The record is from RNAcentral.